AUGCACGCUGGCGGCGUGCCUAAUACAUGCAAGUCGAGCGAACAGACGAGGAGCUUGCUCCUUUGACGUUAGCGGCGGACGGGUGAGUAACACGUGGAUAACCUACCUAUAAGACUGGGAUAACUUCGGGAAACCGGAGCUAAUACCGGAUAACAUGUUGAACCGCAUGGUUCAACAGUGAAAGACGGUCUUGCUGUCACUUAUAGAUGGAUCCGCGCCGCAUUAGCUAGUUGGUAAGGUAACGGCUUACCAAGGCAACGAUGCGUAGCCGACCUGAGAGGGUGAUCGGCCACACUGGAACUGAGACACGGUCCAGACUCCUACGGGAGGCAGCAGUAGGGAAUCUUCCGCAAUGGGCGAAAGCCUGACGGAGCAACGCCGCGUGAGUGAAGAAGGUCUUCGGAUCGUAAAACUCUGUUAUUAGGGAAGAACAAAUGUGUAAGUAACUAUGCACGUCUUGACGGUACCUAAUCAGAAAGCCACGGCUAACUACGUG
This 496-nucleotide ribosomal RNA is filed under the name uncultured bacterium. RNAcentral's name for it is "partial 16S ribosomal RNA". It matches the Rfam family "Bacterial small subunit ribosomal RNA", at positions 29 to 507 of the family's 1533-position model. The record is from RNAcentral.